GGGCAAUAAGAGUUAUGCCCCGAUCUCUAAAUUAAGGUAAAUUCCUAAAUCUUUGUUUUUAAGUUGUCAUGUAUUAGAUAUAGUUGAGAAAUUUAGGAUUCAAAGCAAUUCGAAUAUUAGAGCUUUAAAAACAUAAGAAUUUAAUGAUAAUUUAUUUUUUUUUAUGCUGAUGGUUGAUCAAAGAUAUAUUGGAAUUAUAUCAUUAAGUGGACAUGCUAGUCAUGAAUUG
This 229-nucleotide long non-coding RNA is filed under the name Elaeis guineensis (African oil palm). RNAcentral describes it as "long non-coding RNA (EGUI_LNC071685)". The record is from RNAcentral. Lineage: Eukaryota; Viridiplantae; Streptophyta; Magnoliopsida; Arecales; Arecaceae.